UGGGGAAUAUUGGACAAUGGGGGAAACCCUGAUCCAGCAAUGCCGCGUGUGUGAAGAAGGCCUGCGGGUUGUAAAGCACUUUCAGUAGGGAAGAUAGUGACGGUACCUACAGAAGAAGCACCGGCUAACUCCGUGCCAGCAGCCGCGGUAAUACGGAGGGUGCGAGCGUUAAUCGGAAUUACUGGGCGUAAAGCGCACGUAGGUGGUUUGGUAAGUCGGAUGUGAAAUCCCCGGGCUUAACCUGGGAAUUGCAUUCGAUACUGCCUCACUAGAGUCUAGCAGAGGGAUGCGGAAUUCCGGGUGUAGCGGUGAAAUGCGUAGAGAUCCGGAGGAACAUCAGUGGCGAAGGCGGCAUCCUGGGCUAAGACUGACACUGAGGUGCGAAAGCGUGGGGAGCAAACAGGAUUAGAUACCCCCGUAGUCC
Molecule: ribosomal RNA, 424 nt
Filed under: uncultured prokaryote
Description: bacterial SSU rRNA
Rfam family: Bacterial small subunit ribosomal RNA
Source: RNAcentral